UACGAAGGGGGCUAGCGUUGCUCGGAAUCACUGGGCGUAAAGCGCACGUAGGCGGACUCUUAAGUCAGGGGUGAAAUCCUGGAGCUCAACUCCAGAACUGCCUUUGAUACUGGGAGUCUUGAGUUCGGGAGAGGUGAGUGGAACUGCGAGUGUAGAGGUAAAAUUCGUAGAUAUUCGCAAGAACACCAGUGGCGAAGGCGGCUCACUGGCCCGAUACUGACGCUGAGGUGCGAAAGCGUGGGGAGCAAACAGG
Molecule: ribosomal RNA, 253 nt
Filed under: uncultured bacterium
Lineage: Bacteria
Description: partial 16S ribosomal RNA
Rfam family: Bacterial small subunit ribosomal RNA
Source: RNAcentral